UACGGAGGGUGCAAGCGUUAUCCGGAAUCACUGGGUUUAAAGGGUGCGUAGGCGGUUUGAUAAGUCAGUUGUGAAAUUCCCCGGCUUAACCGGGUGGACUGCGAUUGAUACUGUUGAACUUGAAUCAGGUUGAGGUCGGCGGAAUGUGACAUGUAGCGGUGAAAUGCAUAGAUAUGACACAGAACACCGAUUGCGAAGGCAGCUGACGAAACUGUAACUGACGCUGAUGCACGAAAGUGCGGGGAUCAAACAGG
Molecule: ribosomal RNA, 254 nt
Filed under: uncultured bacterium
Lineage: Bacteria
Description: partial 16S ribosomal RNA
Rfam family: Bacterial small subunit ribosomal RNA
Source: RNAcentral